RNAcentral lists this ribosomal RNA (550 nucleotides) under uncultured bacterium. RNAcentral describes it as "bacterial SSU rRNA". It matches the Rfam family "Bacterial small subunit ribosomal RNA", at positions 355 to 896 of the family's 1533-position model. The record is from RNAcentral.
CUAAGAAUCUUCCGCAAUGGGGGAAACCCUGACGGAGCGACGCCGCGUGGGCGAAGAAGGCCGGAAGGUUGUAAAGCCCUUUUCUUGACGAAGAAUAAGGCAAGGAGUGGAACGCCUUGCUGAUGACGUUAGUCGAGGAAGAAGCCCCGGCCAAUUACGUGCCAGCAGCCGCGGUAACACGUAUGGGGCGAGCGUUGUUCGGAAUUACUGGGCGUAAAGGGUGCGUAGGCGGUUCAGCAAGCCUGGUGUUAAAUACCCCGGCCCAACCGGGGAGCUGCGCUGGGAACUGCUGGGCUGGAGUUCAGGAGGGGAAGCUGGAAUUCCUGGUGUAGGGGUGAAAUCUGUAGAGAUCAGGAAGAACACCGAUGGCGAAGGCAAGCUUCUGGCCAUGGACUGACGCUGAGGCACGAAAGCGUGGGGAGCGAACAGGAUUGGAUACCCUGGUAGUCCACGCCGUAAACGAUGUGCACUAGGUGUUGGGGCGAUGAAAGCCUCGGUGCCGUAGCGAACGUGUUAAGUGCACCGCCUGGGGAGUAUGCUCGCAAGGGUA